CGCUCCGUAUGGCAGAAAAAAACGCUGGGAGGGGCGUCUAAAAAAACGGCCGUGACUUUUUCCAGAAACGCUCUGCUCCAUAGGAAUAUAAUGUAAAACAUGAGCUGGCAGAUUUAAAAUCGCUAGAUGUGAACACGGCCAGUCAAACGUGGCGGAAUAAUAAUAAUAAUAAUAAUAAAAACACUAACGAUUCCAAUAGGUUGCCUUCGCACUUUGUGCUUGGCACCCUAAUAAUAAUAAUAAUGACGAUGAUGAUGUUGAUAAUAAUAAUUUAAUAUUUAUCUCACUUUGUGUGUCUGGGAGUUUUGUUGGCGAAUCAAAUACAUCAUCAGCGAUGCCCUCAAUGUAUGCGACGAUAGCCAGGAUCAUUGCGCUUCUGGACUGAACUAUUUCAUCAUGGCUCAAAAGAAGUUUAGGCCCUGCCCCUCCUGCCAAGAACCUAACCAGGUGAGCCGAAAAACCUGCAGCAGUUGUUUCGCAGCUCUCUCAAACAAGGGAAAACUAAAGGCCAAAACGGGGUCCCUGGAUAGGAAGUGGGCGGAAGGGGUCCUGAAAAAUCGAAACGCGGCAAGAGUGGUGAACUCUGCCCAUAUUGCAGUGAAAAAACUAAGUGCAUUGGGCUAUGUCCCAAUUUUAUUUUAUGCCAGAAGGGGAGAAAGCCUCUGGAAAGUGGGUGGCUGAUGUGAUGAACCAGCUGACACCCACUGAGGAUAACCUCAAAAUUUUAGCCAGUAUGAAAAAGGCAUACAAUUUUGUUUUGCUUAAAGAAGGUUGCCGGAAAUGUAGUAGGCAAAAAAUAUUUCAUUAUGACGCCGUCACAGAAAGGAGGAUGAAUGAGGGGCGAGCAGAAGUAAGGGUGAGAUGGUUACCUUGCUCUGCAUGCAGGACUCAGCACCUGCCACAGUGCCAAAACUGCUAGUAACUGGUUUGCUUACCAUGUGGAAAAACCUGGGAGGAGACAUGGGAGCUGGCCUGCCAGUUCCCAUCCUAAGAUGCCGGCCAGACUUUUUUCAUUUAUUAUAAUUGAUUUUUGUUUAAAAUAAAGGAAAGUAUACCUAUAUUUCUGUUUACGUCUUUCCAUUAGCCUUGUGGAUUAAAGAUGAAUUAAUUAUUGCCAA
This is a long non-coding RNA of Gadus morhua (Atlantic cod), 1118 nucleotides long. NCBI's taxonomy places the organism in Eukaryota, Metazoa, Chordata, Actinopteri, Gadiformes, Gadidae. The record is from Ensembl.